This is a long non-coding RNA of Arabidopsis thaliana (thale cress), 380 nucleotides long. RefSeq annotates it as other RNA. NCBI's taxonomy places the organism in Eukaryota, Viridiplantae, Streptophyta, Magnoliopsida, Brassicales, Brassicaceae. The record is from RefSeq. The transcript has a single exon.
ACAAGAGGGCCAAUCAAACCAAAUGUAAAGAAAACUAAAGAACGAAAAGAUAAAUUUAAACCGGAAAAAAUCCGAUUAGAAGCUAGACGAGACACAAUAGAAGGACGAUGAAACUCUAGAUAUAAGCCAGUCAACCGCCUUUGUAAAAGCCGACAGAUGCCAGACGCUAGCCGACCACCACCGUAAAGAGAAACGGACGGUGUCAAAACUAAAGCUGGCCAAACAUUGCCAUAAAAACGAAAGUUAUCGGAUAAAAAGCCAAAAAGUCAAAAGCCAAAAGAUUCUAAACGGAUAGUUGGACAACGGAACUACCGUUGCCAGAGAAAAAACUCUAAUGACUUCCUUUCUAAAAAAAUAUAGGAGAGGGAAGUCCACCCGAU